Long non-coding RNA from Drosophila persimilis, 400 nucleotides. RefSeq lists it as uncharacterized. NCBI's taxonomy places the organism in Eukaryota, Metazoa, Arthropoda, Insecta, Diptera, Drosophilidae. The record is from RefSeq and is a predicted model, not a curated record. The transcript is spliced from 2 exons.
GUGGUCGAAGGACAGAGAAUGUAUAGACCUCUCAAAACGACGAGUAACAACGAAGAUUCCAUCCAUAGAAAACGAUGAGCGCUCAACGAUGAUCCCAUCCCUAGACAACGACGAGCGCUCAACGAUGAUCCCAUCCCUAGACAACGACGAGCGCUCAACGAUGAUCCCAUCCCUAGACAACGACGAGCAUUCAACGAUGAUUCCAUCCCUAGAAAACGACAAGCAGCAACGAUGAUCCCAUCCCUAGAAAACGACAAGCAGCAACGAUGAUCCCAUCCCCAGAAAACGACGUGGAACAACGAUGAUCCCAUCCCUAGAAACCUCCGAACAUCUAUCAAACACAAAAAUGAAUAAAGACCCCAUACUUAUCGGUUAAUCGCACCGAUGAAACCCCUCGAAA